RNAcentral lists this transfer RNA (73 nucleotides) under Nannocystaceae bacterium. RNAcentral's name for it is "tRNA-Thr". It matches the Rfam family "tRNA". Rfam says of the family: Transfer RNA (tRNA) molecules are approximately 80 nucleotides in length. Their secondary structure includes four short double-helical elements and three loops (D, anti-codon, and T loops). The record is from RNAcentral. Lineage: Bacteria; Pseudomonadati; Myxococcota; Nannocystales; Nannocystaceae.
GCCGUUGUAGCUCAGUUGGUAGAGCAGCUGAUUCGUAAUCAGCAGGUCACUGGUUCGAAUCCUGUCAACGGCU